Molecule: long non-coding RNA, 720 nt
Organism: Bos taurus (domestic cattle)
Lineage: Eukaryota; Metazoa; Chordata; Mammalia; Artiodactyla; Bovidae
Source: Ensembl
ACAACCUUGCUCAGGGGUCUGGUGUGCAAUCAGAAGUAAUAUUAAGGCAACGUACAUCUUUGAGAGUCAUGCAGUGUCCAUUAGAUUGAAGGCUUCUGAACAAUCUCCUUGUAGCUUGCCCAGCCCAGAGCCUGUGGACCCUCUGCUGCUCUAAGGAAGCCCCUUUGGGUGCCUGAGGUGCUGGCUGCUGUCGAUGUGGAUGAGAGUGAAGGGCCCAUGUCCAUGGCAGAUGUCACAGCACUCGCGGGAGGAGGGCAAGGCUGGUUGUCUCAGCAGAGCUGGCUCUGUGACUCUGGAUUCUUUGCCUAAUUCUGGAUCUGCAGUGUACACAUAUCAUGCUGGAGCAGAAUUGGCCCUGGAAAAUGCUCAGGCAGAGCAGCAGCCAUGGAGCAGGCCCUGCUGUCCUGGACUUUCUCCCUUGUCUUUCCCUGGCUCUCACCCACCGCAUUUCAGGACUGGGAAAGGCAUCGUAAAGACUGCCCUGAUCGAUUCCUGGAUUUAAAAGGAUGGCCUGUGGAAGCUGUGAUAAUCACAAGAGGAGAGCGAGACCCUGCCCCAAGUACCACCCUGGAUCUUGCGCCAGAAUAUGGAGAAGUUGCCACAGGAACCGAGCAAAAGGCACUCAUAAACAUUGUGGGUGUAGAAAAAUUUUGUCUUUGUGAUGAGAUGGCAGGGAUUAGCACUUGAUAACCUUGAUAGUCAUGCACUUUUGAAGUAAAU